RNAcentral lists this long non-coding RNA (757 nucleotides) under Eucalyptus grandis. RNAcentral describes it as "long non-coding RNA (EGRA_LNC002281)". The record is from RNAcentral. Lineage: Eukaryota; Viridiplantae; Streptophyta; Magnoliopsida; Myrtales; Myrtaceae.
AGCAAAUCAAAAGGCGACCUUGCGACCAUUUUGUGGUACAUAUGGAAAGCACGAAAUGGCCUGAUCUUUCAAGGAAGGAAAACAGAACGAAACAAGAUAAUCAGUGAAGCUCGCCUAGCUCAGCAACUUUUCGAGAAGUGGCAACCACAAAAGACAGUGCUUACCUCGGAAAGACACUCGUGGGUACCUCCAGAUCCGGGAGCGUGGAAGAUCAACGUGGAUUGCGCAUGGCAGGAGAGCCGAUCAGAGGGAUCCAUCGCCGGUCUUUGUAGAGGAGCUGAUGGGGUGUGCACUGCUGGUUUUGUGCAGAAAAUCCGUGCUCAAUCGGCUCACAUGGCCGAAACCCUAGCUAUCAGGCGUUCUCUUGAGUGGUUGAAGGAGAAGAGAGCUGUUUUGACAGAAUCACUUUCACCCGCACGAACUGAAGCCAUCUUCUACGUAUCUAGCGACUGCUCCUUGGCUGUUCAGUCGGUUCUGGGCUGCACAGAAACUCCAUGGGCCUCGCGGCCCUUUGUACUGGACUGCCGACAAUUGCUGGGCCAGAUGAAGGAUGUUUGCUUGCAAUUUGAACCGCGCGAGUCCAACCGAGCCGCGGACUGGGUCGCAAAAUCACACAGCUCCGGUUCCUUGCCAGGUAAUUGGGUUAUUAAUCCCCCGCACGAACUCUUUCUUAUCUUAUGUGUUGAUUUUCCUACUAUUUGUAAUCCUCCGACUUAGUAUCAAUCAAAGCGUUUUCACUUCGACCAAAAAAAAAAAA